CAUCCCUCAAUUUUUUAAAUAGAGGUACGCGAGGUUUUCCUAAAUUCUCAUGGGCAUAGAAAAAUCAUGUUUUAGAAUGGGGUUUUUGAAUUAUGAACAUAUUCAUGUUUUUAGAAUGCUUUAAUGACAUUGUUUUGGUCUUUUGGCCUUCCCCAAAAUGAUUUGACAGUUUAUAUGUAUAUGUAUGUAUGUGUUUCAGUUUUGAGAGCAUGAAUUAUGAUGAAUCCCUCUUGUGUUGUGAGCUUUUCUAUUUUCGUAUGAUACGAAUUGUUUUGAAUGCGUUUUGAAAAGCAUGAUAUGAUUUUUUAACACGCAAGAGAGGGUUGUGAAUGUUGAUUAUGCAUAUAAUGAAAGAGUGCACAGAUUUGUCAAAAGCACAUGACCACCAUAUGUUUGAUGAAAGUUUUUGCAUGGUUUUGACUUGAGUUUCGGAACAUGAAAUCUCUUAUGCAAAUUACAUAUUUGGGUGGUCUGAAACUAUAUUUUCAUGAAAGAUCAUGCUUAUGACAUUAUGGAUCAGAAAUAGGACUUGCAAGUCUUGGUGUGACGACACCAACUCAGAUUUUGUCAGAAUAAUUUAGAACAGAUUUAAAUGCAUCUUUGAAAUCAAACUUUCCAGAUGUUGAAACUAUAAACAUGCAUGUUUCAGAACAGGAUAAAAAUUGGGCAUAAAGAGAGCUUAGGUGGUUCUCCGAAGAAGACAUGAGUUCAGACAACUCGUUGCCCAAAACCGUGAUUUGCCGAUCCGGGUUUAUAUAUUACACUGGCCUAGAGCCCUGUGGCGUAUCAGAUUCAGGAACUCCAACCCGCGGCACACUCGGGUUGGAGGCUUUCCUGCCGAGUCAAUGACGGAUUCCAUAUCGCCCGUGGAAUAUCAUACUUGUAGGGGAUACCACCUAACUCAAAAGGAAUACACAAAUCAGAAUUUUAAAUUUACAGACAGG
This 944-nucleotide long non-coding RNA is filed under the name Capsicum annuum. Its description in RNAcentral is "long non-coding RNA (CANN_LNC020038)". Lineage: Eukaryota; Viridiplantae; Streptophyta; Magnoliopsida; Solanales; Solanaceae. The record is from RNAcentral.